Molecule: non-coding RNA, 628 nt
Organism: Odocoileus virginianus texanus
Lineage: Eukaryota; Metazoa; Chordata; Mammalia; Artiodactyla; Cervidae
Source: RefSeq, a predicted model, not a curated record
UCUGUGGUCCUCUGUCUUCAGGGAGGUGCGUUUGCUCUAAGAGCUGGCGACCGUGUCUGGGUUAGCGCUGGCAUCCUGAGGAAUGUAGCUCCCCUGGGAUACCUUAUAGCACAAAAGGUGACGGCUUGUGACGAAAAGGAGUAAAUAGCUGUGUGGUGUCUUGGAAAGAACAUGGUUUCUAGAGUCAGAUAGAGCUGAUUUCAGAUUCCGGCCCUGCUACUUUGCUGAAAAUCUUUGGUGUCUUCCAAAGAUGAGAAGUUUGGGGUUGAAAAAGAAAACAAAAAACCCAAUGAAAAAUGGGCAAAUAUUUGAACAGACGCUUCACCAAAGAUGAUAAAUGGGUAACGAAUAAGCUCAUAAAAAGAUUUUCAAUAUUAUUAGUUAUUUUGGAAAUGAAAAUUAAAACCACAAUGGUACACUUUGUAAAACAGUUCAGCAGUUUCUUCAAAGAGUAAAUAAAUAUAUGUCUAUCGUCUGAUCCAGUCAUUCCUAGGGAUUUACCCGAGAGAAAUGAAAGCAUGUGUCUACACGAAGAAUUCUACAGGAAUGUUCAUAGUAGCUUCAUUUGUAACAGGCAAAAACUGGAAACAAUCAAAAUGUCCAUUAAUAGGUGAAUGGACCCUUAUGG